UGGGGAAUAUUGCACAAUGGGCGCAAGCCUGAUGCAGCCAUGCCGCGUGUAUGAAGAAGGCCUUCGGGUUGUAAAGUACUUUCAGUCGGGAGGAAGGUGUCAAGGUUAAUAACCUUGGCAAUUGACGUUACCGACAGAAGAAGCACCGGCUAACUCCGUGCCAGCAGCUGCGGUAAUACGGAGGGUGCAAGCGUUAAUCGGAAUUACUGGGCGUAAAGCGCACGCAGGCGGUUUGUUAAGUCAGAUGUGAAAUCCCCGGGCUCAACCUGGGAACUGCAUCUGAUACUGGCAAGCUUGAGUCUCGUAGAGGGGGGUAGAAUUCCAGGUGUAGCGGUGAAAUGCGUAGAGAUCUGGAGGAAUACCGGUGGCGAAGGCGGCCCCCUGGACGAAGACUGACGCUCAGAUGCGAAAGCGUGGGGAGCAAACAGG
This 429-nucleotide ribosomal RNA is filed under the name Chloroflexota bacterium. Its description in RNAcentral is "Chloroflexi bacterium partial 16S ribosomal RNA". It matches the Rfam family "Bacterial small subunit ribosomal RNA", at positions 355 to 776 of the family's 1533-position model. The record is from RNAcentral. Lineage: Bacteria; Bacillati; Chloroflexota.